GAUGAACGCUGGCGGCGUGCCUAAUACAUGCAAGUCGAGCGAACAGACGAGGAGCUUGCUCCUUUGACGUUAGCGGCGGACGGGUGAGUAACACGUGGGUAACCUACCUAUAAGACUGGGAUAACUUCGGGAAACCGGAGCUAAUACCGGAUAAUAUUUCGAACCGCAUGGUUCGAUAGUGAAAGAUGGCUUUGCUAUCACUUAUAGAUGGACCUGCGCCGUAUUAGCUAGUUGGUAAGGUAACGGCUUACCAAGGCAACGAUACGUAGCCGACCUGAGAGGGUAAUCGGCCACACUGGAACUGAGACACGGUCCAGACUCCUACGGGAGGCAGCAGUAGGGAAUCUUCCGCAAUGGGCGAAAGCCUGACGGAGCAACGCCGCGUGAGUGAUGAAGGUCUUCGGAUCGUAAAACUCUGUUAUUAGGGAAGAACAAACGUGUAAGUAACUGUGCACGUCUUGACGGUACCUAAUCAGAAAGCCACGGCUAACUACGUG
This 497-nucleotide ribosomal RNA is filed under the name uncultured bacterium. RNAcentral describes it as "partial 16S ribosomal RNA". It matches the Rfam family "Bacterial small subunit ribosomal RNA", at positions 28 to 507 of the family's 1533-position model. The record is from RNAcentral.